Molecule: ribosomal RNA, 464 nt
Filed under: Vreelandella stevensii
Lineage: Bacteria; Pseudomonadati; Pseudomonadota; Gammaproteobacteria; Oceanospirillales; Halomonadaceae
Description: partial 16S ribosomal RNA
Rfam family: Bacterial small subunit ribosomal RNA
Source: RNAcentral
CCUACGGGGGGCUGCAGUGGGGAAUAUUGGACAAUGGGGGGAACCCUGAUCCAGCCAUGCCGCGUGUGUGAAGAAGGCCCUCGGGUUGUAAAGCACUUUCAGUGAGGAAGAACGCCUGGUGGUUAAUACCCAUCAGGAAAGACAUCACUCACAGAAGAAGCACCGGCUAACUCCGUGCCAGCAGCCGCGGUAAUACGGAGGGUGCGAGCGUUAAUCGGAAUUACUGGGCGUAAAGCGCGCGUAGGUGGCUUGAUAAGCCGGUUGUGAAAGCCCCGGGCUCAACCUGGGAACGGCAUCCGGGGGGAGGAGCUAGCGGGGGAGAGAGCGUGGUGACAUGCAGGGUGGGUGGGUGAGAAGCGGAGAUCGCAGGAACGGUCCCAGUCGCGCAGCGGGCCGAGCUGAGCGCAACUGCAACUGAGGGGCGGAAGCGCGGGUAUCAAACAGGAUGGGAUACAAGAGGGGUC